RNAcentral lists this ribosomal RNA (273 nucleotides) under uncultured bacterium. RNAcentral describes it as "partial 16S ribosomal RNA". It matches the Rfam family "Bacterial small subunit ribosomal RNA", at positions 524 to 796 of the family's 1533-position model. The record is from RNAcentral.
UACGUAGGGCGCAAGCGUUAUCCGGAAUUAUUGGGCGUAAAGAGCUCGUAGGCGGUUUGUCGCGUCUGCCGUGAAAGUCCGGGGCUCAACUCCGGAUCUGCGGUGGGUACGGGCAGACUAGAGUGAUGUAGGGGAGACUGGAAUUCCUGGUGUAGCGGUGAAAUGCGCAGAUAUCAGGAGGAACACCGAUGGCGAAGGCAGGUCUCUGGGCAUUAACUGACGCUGAGGAGCGAAAGCAUGGGGAGCGAACAGGAUUAGAAACCCCCGUAGUCC